UCAAGUGGUGAUGUCGUAGAGGUCACACCUGUUCCCAUUCCGAACACAGAAGUUAAGCUCUACAGAGCCGAUGGUACUUGGACCGCAGGGUCCUGGGAGAGUAGGACGCCGCUUGGC
Molecule: non-coding RNA, 117 nt
Organism: Tumebacillus sp.
Lineage: Bacteria; Bacillati; Bacillota; Bacilli; Caryophanales; Alicyclobacillaceae
Source: Rfam